UUCAGGCCUAACACAUGCAAGUCGAGCGGUAGCACAGAGAGCUUGCUCUCGGGUGACGAGCGGCGGACGGGUGAGUAAUGUCUGGGAAACUGCCUGAUGGAGGGGGAUAACUACUGGAAACGGUAGCUAAUACCGCAUAACGUCGCAAGACCAAAGAGGGGGACCUUCGGGCCUCUUGCCAUCAGAUGUGCCCAGAUGGGAUUAGCUAGUAGGUGGGGUAACGGCUCACCUAGGCGACGAUCCCUAGCUGGUCUGAGAGGAUGACCAGCCACACUGGAACUGAGACACGGUCCAGACUCCUACGGGAGGCAGCAGUGGGGAAUAUUGCACAAUGGGCGCAAGCCUGAUGCAGCCAUGCCGCGUGUAUGAAGAAGGCCUUCGGGUUGUAAAGUACUUUCAGCGGGGAGGAAGGUGCUGAGGUUAAUAACCUCAGCAAUUGACGUUACCCGCAGAAGAAGUACCGGCUAACUCCGUGCCAGCAGCCGCGGUAAUAUGGAGGGUGCAAGCGUUAAUCGGAAUUACUGGGCGUAAAGCGCACGCAGGCGGUCUGUCAAGUCGGAUGUGAAAUCCCCGGGCUCAACCUGGGAACUGCAUUCGAAACUGGCAGGCUAGAGUCUUGUAGAGGGGGGUAGAAUUCCAGGUGUAGCGGUGAAAUGCGUAGAGAUCUGGAGGAAUACCGGUGGCGAAGGCGGCCCCCUGGACAAAGACUGACGCUCAGGUGCGAAAGCGUGGGGAGCAAACAGGAUUAGAUACCCUGGUAGUCCACGCCGUAAACGAUGUCGACUUGGAGGUUGUGCCCUUGAGGCGUGGCUUCCGGAGCUAACGCGUUAAGUCGACCGCCUGGGGAGUACGGCCGCAAGGUUAAAACUCAAAUGAAUUGACGGGGGCCCGCACAAGCGGUGGAGCAUGUGGUUUAAUUCGAUGCAACGCGAAGAACCUUACCUACUCUUGACAUCCAGAGAACUUUCCAGAGAUGGAUUGGUGCCUUCGGGAACUCUG
This 999-nucleotide ribosomal RNA is filed under the name uncultured Enterobacter sp. RNAcentral describes it as "bacterial SSU rRNA". It matches the Rfam family "Bacterial small subunit ribosomal RNA", at positions 41 to 1031 of the family's 1533-position model. The record is from RNAcentral. Lineage: Bacteria; Pseudomonadati; Pseudomonadota; Gammaproteobacteria; Enterobacterales; Enterobacteriaceae.